AGGGUUCAAGAACACAUAUGGGAAGCACAAUGAGACUGGGGUGUUGCAAAAUGCUGUUUCAGACUCCUGAUUGUAUCACUGCAAAACUGUACCAUAAUUCAGAGUAUGUGGAUGAACGACAUCGGCAUAGAUACGAGGUGAAUCCAGAUAUGAUUGAC
Molecule: non-coding RNA, 158 nt
Organism: Camellia sinensis
Lineage: Eukaryota; Viridiplantae; Streptophyta; Magnoliopsida; Ericales; Theaceae
Source: RefSeq, a predicted model, not a curated record